GGGGAUGUAGCUCAGUUGGUAGAAUGCUUGCCCAAGCACAUGCAGAAGACCCUGGGUUCAAUCCCCAGCACCACCA
RNAcentral lists this transfer RNA (76 nucleotides) under Ictidomys tridecemlineatus (thirteen-lined ground squirrel). RNAcentral describes it as "Spermophilus tridecemlineatus (thirteen-lined ground squirrel) tRNA". It matches the Rfam family "tRNA". From Rfam's summary of the family: Transfer RNA (tRNA) molecules are approximately 80 nucleotides in length. Their secondary structure includes four short double-helical elements and three loops (D, anti-codon, and T loops). Further hydrogen bonds mediate the characteristic L-shaped molecular structure. tRNAs have two regions of fundamental functional importance: the anti-codon, which is responsible for specific mRNA codon recognition, and the 3' end, to which the tRNAs corresponding amino acid is attached (by aminoacyl-tRNA synthetases). tRNAs cope with the degeneracy of the genetic code in two manners: having more than one tRNA (with a specific anti-codon) for a particular amino acid; and 'wobble' base-pairing, i.e. permitting non-standard base-pairing at the 3rd anti-codon position. Lineage: Eukaryota; Metazoa; Chordata; Mammalia; Rodentia; Sciuridae. The record is from Rfam by way of RNAcentral.